GACGAACGCUGGCGGCGUGCUUAACACAUGCAAGUCGAACGGAAAGGCCUUUUCGGAGGUACUCGAGUGGCGCACGGGUGAGUAACACGUGGGUGAUCUGCCCUGCACUCUGGGAUAAGCCUGGGAAACUGGGUCUAAUACCGGAUAGGACCGCACUUUAGUGUGUGUGGUGGAAAGUUUUUUCGGUGUAGGAUGAGCCCGCGGCCUAUCAGCUUGUUGGUGGGGUAAUGGCCUACCAAGGCGGCGACGGGUAGCCGGACUGAGAGGUUGGUCGGCCACAUUGGGACUGAGAUACGGCCCAGACUCCUACGGGGGGCAGCAGUGGGGAAUAUUGCACAAUGGGCGCAAGCCUGAUGCAGCGACGCCGCGUGGGGGAUGACGGCCUUCGGGUUGUAAACUCCUUUCGCCAGGGACGAAGCGUUUUGUGACGGUACCUGGAGAAGAAGCACCGGCUAACUACGUG
RNAcentral lists this ribosomal RNA (463 nucleotides) under uncultured bacterium. RNAcentral's name for it is "partial 16S ribosomal RNA". It matches the Rfam family "Bacterial small subunit ribosomal RNA", at positions 28 to 507 of the family's 1533-position model. The record is from RNAcentral.